CGCUGGCGGCGUGCCUAAUACAUGCAAGUCGAACGGUCUUUUCUAUGGAAGCUUGCUUCCACUGAGAAGAUAGUGGCGAACGGGUGAGUAACACGUGGGUAACCUGCCCAUAAGAGGGGGAUAACAUCCGGAAACGGGUGCUAAUACCGCAUAGUUUUCUUGAUCGCAUGAUCGGGAAAGGAAAGACGGCCUUUGUGCUGUCGCUUAUGGAUGGACCCGCGGCGUAUUAGUUAGUUGGUGAGGUAACGGCUCACCAAGACGAUGAUACGUAGCCGACCUGAGAGGGUGAUCGGCCACAUUGGGACUGAGACACGGCCCAAACUCCUACGGGAGGCAGCAGUAGGGAAUCUUCCGCAAUGGACGAAAGUCUGACGGAGCAACGCCGCGUGAGUGAAGAAAGGUUUUCGGAUCGUAAAACUCUGUUGUCAGAGAAGAACAAGUUGGAGAGUAACUGCUCCAGCCUUGACGGUAUCUGACCAGAAAGCCACGGCUAACUACGUGCCAGCCGCUGC
This 512-nucleotide ribosomal RNA is filed under the name uncultured bacterium. RNAcentral's name for it is "bacterial SSU rRNA". It matches the Rfam family "Bacterial small subunit ribosomal RNA", at positions 34 to 518 of the family's 1533-position model. The record is from RNAcentral.